UGGUACCAGCCACUGCAAAAUCAUGCCAAAUUGUAAAGACGAUCAAGGCUAAGAAGAAACUGCAUCAACUAACGAGCAAAAUAACCAGCUAACAUCAUCAUGACAGGAUCAAAUUCACACAUAACAAUAUUAACUUUAAAUGGAAAUGGACUAAAUGCUCCAAUUAAAAGACACAGACUGGCAAAUUGGAUAAAGAGUCAAGACCCAUCAGUGUGCUGUAUUCAGGAAUCCCAUCUCAUGGGCAGAGACACACAUAGGCUCAAAAUAAAAGGAUGGAGGAAGAUCUCCCAAGCAAAUGGAAAACAAAAAAAGGCAGGGGUUGCAAUCCUAGUCUCUGAUAAAACAGACUUUAAACCAACAAAGAUCAAAAGAGACAAAGAAGGCCAUUACAUAAUGGUAAAGGGAUCAAUUCAAAUGUCCUUAAACCUAAUAAUAUGAAAUUUGGGGAAUAUGCCCAUGAACUUUAUGGCAAUAUUCACACUUUAUAGUUUUCAAUCAGGCCAAUAGUUAACUUUUGCUUUGACAUGUGCACUUGGAAAGAGUUCGUGAGGGUUCAUUACCAAGAUCCCUUGACUUUAUACAUAUAGUUUAGAUUUUUAAGCUCUAAGCCCAUUUAUCUAAAACAUUUCUUUUAGCCAAAUGUCUUUUACAAGAAAAUUUUAUCAAUGAUGCACCAUUAUAAGAGUUUGUUCAUCUACCUUAUCCUGAGAAACCUAGAUGCUGUAUUAUUCUAACAUGAGACAACUUUCUAAAUUUAUCAAGCCUUUGAUUAUAAAUUUGAACAAGAGAGAUCACGUAUCCCACUGUUGAAAAGAUGUGUUUUUUCUUAACUUCCUGGCCAUAUGGAGAAAAUACUAUUGAAUAUACACUUUAUACUCCA
Molecule: long non-coding RNA, 880 nt
Filed under: Homo sapiens (human)
Lineage: Eukaryota; Metazoa; Chordata; Mammalia; Primates; Hominidae
Description: non-protein coding lnc-MEIS2-7:1
Source: RNAcentral